GAUAAUUCCUCAGGAAUGUUUGGAAAUAUAGCUCAUUGAAUGUCCAAUUUUUCCCCCUGAAAUAAUAUACUCAGUCUUGCUGGAUAGGUGACUCUGGGUUGUAAACCCAAAGCCAUUGACUUCAUAAAUAUCAUAUUCCUUGCCUUUUGACCCUUUAAUGUAGAAACCACCAGGUCCUGUGAGAUCCUUAUUAUAGCUCCACGGUAUUUAAAUGAUUGCUUUCUGGCUGCUUGAAGUUUUUUUUUUCCUUUCCUUGGUGGUUCUUGAAUUAGCCAUUAGGUUCCUCAAAGUUGUCAUUUGAGGAUUUAUUUCUGGAGGUGAUCUGUGAAUUCUUUUAAUUUCAAUAUUAUUUUCUUGUUCAAGGAUCUCUAGGAAGUUACUUUGAUAAUUUCUUGUAAUAUGAUGUCUAAGGUUUUUUUUUUUUUUCUUGAUCAUGGCUUUCAGGUGUGAUAGAGGCUGGCACUAGAGAAAAAGUGCCAGGCUGAAGAGUAUGUGAAAUUGAUCACCUCAAAGGGGGAGUGACCCCAGGAGUGGAAUCCAGAGGAGGAGAAGACUCUGGCUGGGAGAGCAGUGAGGGUUUCUCUCGGUCUUGAGAAGCCAGAGAGAGAAGUUGGAAAAAAGACUAUCUCCUGAGGGUUAUCCAUCUUUCCUGCUGGUGACUGGAAAUCUUUUCCCCCAACACUUCUCAGUUGAAAGUACUUCUGAAGAGAAACCUGAGCAGACUUUACCUCAGCUCCUGUUGCCUAGAGCAAUGAACCUUGAUUGAAAUGUGGAGAAAGACUACAACUCACCCUUUGAUUGAAGGCAGUUAACUGUUGCCCUACUCACUGGAAGAUGGAGGCCAGAAUGUGUACAGAAGGAAGGAAGCUUAGAAGAUCAACUCCUCAGCAUGGGGACAAAGACAUAAAAAUCACAGAAAGCGCGCUAAUGACAGGCCCCUGGGAAAAGGCCUUCCAAGACAAUGAAUGAGCUGA
This 974-nucleotide long non-coding RNA is filed under the name Monodelphis domestica (gray short-tailed opossum). RNAcentral describes it as "lncRNA (ENSMODG00000050295.1)". Lineage: Eukaryota; Metazoa; Chordata; Mammalia; Didelphimorphia; Didelphidae. The record is from RNAcentral.